This 387-nucleotide unclassified non-coding RNA is filed under the name Bombus terrestris (buff-tailed bumblebee). RNAcentral describes it as "misc RNA ENSBTSG00005032313.1". The record is from RNAcentral. Lineage: Eukaryota; Metazoa; Arthropoda; Insecta; Hymenoptera; Apidae.
CUUUUUUCUUUUUUUUUUUUUUAAUCACUCACGACUUUCUCUCGCGUAUCAGUCUAUGAUUAUGAAGCGAAACUAGCAAUUUCAGGAGUCGAUGACCUUGGCACCCGGCCCUUAUCUAAACAUAGACCGUGAAUUAGUCAUUACACUUGUGGUCUGCCACCUGUUCGUACUGUUCUUUCUCAUUUUUCAAGGACGCUUUUAUUUUACAUCAAAGAGUAAGGUGGUUCGUCAACGAUCAUACACACAGGACAAAGUAAAUUGGCUUUCAAUGGGCAGAAAAAGGUGAAAGAUAAGCGUAUGCAACCAGUCAUUGUACACUGCCUGAUUACGGCAUCGAUACGAGGUGCAACGCGGCCCAGAUUUUCAAAUCAAGGCCAGGAUAUUUGC